UUGUAAUUUCAAAUGGAUCACCCUGUAUAUUUUUCGGUUUUCGAAAUCCUUAAGAAAUACUUAUUAUUUUUCAACCGAUGUUCUCAAUAAUUUCGGAUUUAUAGCUACAUUUGCGUUAUCUCUGCCGAAGUUAAAAUAAUACAUUUAGUUUAUUGGAAAUCACAAUGGAUUGUUUAUCUGAAAAUGAACGAAUAUUUUAAUGAUAUUAGGAUAUGGUGAUAGGCGUAGAAGUCAACAAUAAACGUGUAAUAUCUUCUAUAAUUUAUAUCCUAACCGAAAUCCCAAACAAGAUCUACUGUCAGUAAAUUAAUAAAAAAGUUUAACGAAACUGUUUAGUAAAAAAUUUAUCCAAAUCAUGGUGCAGAAAAACUGCAUCAACUGAAAACAAAUCUUUAUAUGUUUGUGUCCUGUCAGAAGACGAUCUACAUCCAUAGAAAGUAAUGUUGGAUCAAGAGUGUUCAGAUUUUCGAGAUUCGAUUUUCUUAGACAUGAAGAGAUUGUAGACCUAAUGAUGGGAAAAUGUUAUAAUCAAAACGAUCCAAAAAUUUUAAGUAAUGUUAUGUUUUGCGAUGGGGCCACUUUUUGUAUUGAUAGAAACGUAAAUCGGCAUAAUUGUAGAUACUGGUCACGUAACAAUCCUCGUUGGUGCGUGAAUCCCACACCCAAUAUCCCGAAAAACUGAAUGUAUGGGCUGGAAUAAUAAGCAACAAAAUAAUUGGUCCCUUUUUCAUUCAGGGUAACUUAAAUGGUCCAUUUAGAUUUAUUGGGAAAUAAUAUUAUACCUGAGUUGGCAUGUAUAUUUCCAAAUCCAAACAAUGGCAAUAUCCCAAAUGACAAUAUUUUGCUACAAUAAGAUGGUACCCCACCUCACUAUGCGUGUGUGGUGAGGCAAUACUCAAAUAAUGUGAUCUCUAGAAGAUGGAUUGGGAGGAGUGGUUCUAUCGAAUGACCCGCGCGAUCACCCGAUAUGAACCCUUUACACUAUUUCCUAUUGGUUCACAUUGUUUAUAAAACAAAACCUGCUCAUAUUCAGGACUUAAGGCGUUAAUGGACGGCCGACGAAUAUUUUCGUCGACUGCACAACGAAAGUUCGGAAAGAGAUACCGCUCUAAAGUGUAAAUGAGCGUUGUGUAGGUAGCUAAAGACAUGAGACUGAAAUACAGAUGUUCGACUCACUUUUGUUGCGCGCGACUGUCCCUUACACUGUUAUUAAUAAUUACUCACAGAAGUGAGUAAUUUAGAAAUGCUGAAGAUUACUCCUUAAAUAUACUUGAAAUAUCAGGGUGGUGCCUAAACAGACUGGACAGAAAACAAAAAUUAAUAUUUACUUAGUUUAAAAAUAUAUUUCUAAUUAUCUAGGUACAUAUCGUUUCUCAAUAAUAUGUUUAACGUUUAAAAUUUUCUGUUAUACACCUUUUGGUAAAUUUAAUACUAUUAAACAGUUUUUUAUUUCCCAUCGGUGUCUGUUACUGUUAAUAAUAUAAACCCGAUAAAUUGCGAAUAAAAGUGGACGUUGAAUGUUUGUAAAAUCAACGCGAAGGGAAGCGUGGCCGGUUGUUUAGUCUGGAUGCACGAUUUUGGUGGUAAACCACCCUUAGCUGAGCACUUGGGUGAGAACCAAAGCUAUAAUGAUAAGAGAUGAAGUGUUUUACGUAAUAUAAACAAACUCCCCACAUAAAGUGGAGAGAUUUUGACCUUGUAUUAUAAGGGACAGACGUUUAGUGAACUUUGUCUUGAAAACACGUCUUUUCAUUCUCGCAUUUUCACGAAAUUAUCUCACAGUUCAGUGCAGUGCAGUGCA
Diorhabda sublineata is the source of this 1801-nucleotide long non-coding RNA. RefSeq lists it as uncharacterized. The record is from RefSeq and is a predicted model, not a curated record. Lineage: Eukaryota; Metazoa; Arthropoda; Insecta; Coleoptera; Chrysomelidae. The transcript is spliced from 3 exons.